This 1527-nucleotide ribosomal RNA is filed under the name Klebsiella pneumoniae. RNAcentral describes it as "bacterial SSU rRNA". It matches the Rfam family "Bacterial small subunit ribosomal RNA". The record is from RNAcentral. Lineage: Bacteria; Pseudomonadati; Pseudomonadota; Gammaproteobacteria; Enterobacterales; Enterobacteriaceae.
AGAGUUUGAUCAUGGCUCAGAUUGAACGCUGGCGGCAGGCCUAACACAUGCAAGUCGAGCGGUAGCACAGAGAGCUUGCUCUCGGGUGACGAGCGGCGGACGGGUGAGUAAUGUCUGGGAAACUGCCUGAUGGAGGGGGAUAACUACUGGAAACGGUAGCUAAUACCGCAUAAUGUCGCAAGACCAAAGUGGGGGACCUUCGGGCCUCAUGCCAUCAGAUGUGCCCAGAUGGGAUUAGCUAGUAGGUGGGGUAAUGGCUCACCUAGGCGACGAUCCCUAGCUGGUCUGAGAGGAUGACCAGCCACACUGGAACUGAGACACGGUCCAGACUCCUACGGGAGGCAGCAGUGGGGAAUAUUGCACAAUGGGCGCAAGCCUGAUGCAGCCAUGCCGCGUGUGUGAAGAAGGCCUUCGGGUUGUAAAGCACUUUCAGCGGGGAGGAAGGCGUUAAGGUUAAUAACCUUGGCGAUUGACGUUACCCGCAGAAGAAGCACCGGCUAACUCCGUGCCAGCAGCCGCGGUAAUACGGAGGGUGCAAGCGUUAAUCGGAAUUACUGGGCGUAAAGCGCACGCAGGCGGUCUGUCAAGUCGGAUGUGAAAUCCCCGGGCUCAACCUGGGAACUGCAUUCGAAACUGGCAGGCUAGAGUCUUGUAGAGGGGGUAGAAUUCCAGGUGUAGCGGUGAAAUGCGUAGAGAUCUGGAGGAAUACCGGUGGCGAAGGCGGCCCCCUGGACAAAGACUGACGCUCAGGUGCGAAAGCGUGGGGAGCAAACAGGAUUAGAUACCCUGGUAGUCCACGCCGUAAACGAUGUCGAUUUGGAGGUUGUGCCCUUGAGGCGUGGCUUCCGGAGCUAACGCGUUAAAUCGACCGCCUGGGGAGUACGGCCGCAAGGUUAAAACUCAAAUGAAUUGACGGGGGCCCGCACAAGCGGUGGAGCAUGUGGUUUAAUUCGAUGCAACGCGAAGAACCUUACCUGGUCUUGACAUCCACAGAACUUUCCAGAGAUGGAUUGGUGCCUUCGGGAACUGUGAGACAGGUGCUGCAUGGCUGUCGUCAGCUCGUGUUGUGAAAUGUUGGGUUAAGUCCCGCAACGAGCGCAACCCUUAUCCUUUGUUGCCAGCGGUUCGGCCGGGAACUCAAAGGAGACUGCCAGUGAUAAACUGGAGGAAGGUGGGGAUGACGUCAAGUCAUCAUGGCCCUUACGACCAGGGCUACACACGUGCUACAAUGGCAUAUACAAAGAGAAGCGACCUCGCGAGAGCAAGCGGACCUCAUAAAGUAUGUCGUAGUCCGGAUUGGAGUCUGCAACUCGACUCCAUGAAGUCGGAAUCGCUAGUAAUCGUAGAUCAGAAUGCUACGGUGAAUACGUUCCCGGGCCUUGUACACACCGCCCGUCACACCAUGGGAGUGGGUUGCAAAAGAAGUAGGUAGCUUAACCUUCGGGAGGGCGCUUACCACUUUGUGAUUCAUGACUGGGGUGAAGUCGUAACAAGGUAACCGUAGGGGAACCUGCGGUUGGAUCACCU